UAAUUCCUGUCAGCUGGAAGCCUUGAGUAGCUCAAACAACACAACUUUCCUCUGAGGGCUGCUUGCUGGUGGGUUCAAGGGCAGUGGUGGGUUUCAGUUUUAAGAAGAUCAUCAGAAGCAUGAGCAUUUUGGAACAAACAGAAAUCCAGGAUCUGUAGUGCUUGUGCCGUCACAGGAGAUCUUUGAAGCACUGUUUGAAGCAGCAGGAGUGUUCUGCACUCUCGGGAGGUGCAUUUGUGCCUUCAGGAUUGCAGACAGAGGAUGUUUUCCCAUCCUGUGCUGACAGAUUUCCUGGCAGAACUAUAUAAUCAGGAGCAGCCAUGGCUGUAGUGCCACAGUGCAAGAGCACCUCCUGCAUGUAGGAACUCCAGGGAGACCCCUUGGGAAGACUUUGGCUGCACAGAUCAGUGUCUGGGUUUGAGGGCAGCUCCAGUGGAAAGUACAAGGAAAAGGAAGUUAAAAGGACCAGGAGAUCUCUGCCCUGUCGUUGAUCAUGAGGAGCAGUGUCACACCUGAGGGCAGGUGAGCAGCUUUAUCCAGCACAGCUGACUUUUAACUGAGAUCCUGGGAUUUAUUUUCA
Molecule: long non-coding RNA, 580 nt
Filed under: Taeniopygia guttata (zebra finch)
Lineage: Eukaryota; Metazoa; Chordata; Aves; Passeriformes; Estrildidae
Description: lncRNA (ENSTGUG00000028530.1)
Source: RNAcentral